AUUGAACGCUGGCGGCAUGCUUUACACAUGCAAGUCGAACGGCAGCGCGGGCUUCGGCCUGGCGGCGAGUGGCGAACGGGUGAGUAAUACAUCGGAACGUGCCCAGUAGUGGGGGAUAGCUCGGCGAAAGCCGGAUUAAUACCGCAUACGACCUGAGGUUGAAAGCGGGGGAUCUUCGGACCUCGCGCUAUUGGAGCGGCCGAUGGCAGAUUAGCUCGUUGGUGGGGUAAAGGCCUACCAAGGCGACGAUCUGUAGCUGGUCUGAGAGGACGACCAGCCACACUGGGACUGAGACACGGCCCAGACUCCUACGGGAGGCAGCAGUGGGGAAUUUUGGACAAUGGGCGAAAGCCUGAUCCAGCAAUGCCGCGUGUGUGAUGAAGGCCUUCGGGUUGUAAAGCACUUUUGGCGGGAACGAAAAGGACUGUGCCAAUACCACGGUUCGAUGGCGGUACCCGCAGAAUAAGCACCGGCUAACUACGUG
RNAcentral lists this ribosomal RNA (484 nucleotides) under uncultured bacterium. RNAcentral describes it as "partial 16S ribosomal RNA". It matches the Rfam family "Bacterial small subunit ribosomal RNA", at positions 29 to 507 of the family's 1533-position model. The record is from RNAcentral.